GGAUCCCAUCAGAACUUUGAAGUUAAGCGUGCUUGGGCGAGAGUAGUACUAGGAUAGGUGACCUCCUGGGAAGUCCUCGUGCUGCAUUCCUUUUUUCAUUAUUAUUUUUGCUACACGCGAGAAACAUGACACACGUGCGCGGUAAAUAAUUGAACGCACGUGUGGGGAAAUAUUAAACGCAGUUUCUCAUUUCUGACGUUUGCGGUGAGUUGCAGUUUGCGGAUCGAUAUUGACGCGUGUAGGGGCAGCGUUAUGGUGGGAGAGGCACCGCUUUAUGAAAGCGUUCGACGGCAUGUGAAAACUCUGGCAACGUUGGCGACGGAGAGGGAGGGGUGAAAACCUUGGUAAACGUGGGAACGGUUGUUGAGCUGGAGAGAACGUAGUAUGGUGAAGUAUCGAGCGGUGACAAGGAAUGUGCGGUAGAGUUUGUAGCGGAGCUUGGAGGGAGGAGCAUAAGGGACGAAGGGAUAAGAAACAUGU
Molecule: ribosomal RNA, 480 nt
Filed under: Hordeum marinum (seaside barley)
Lineage: Eukaryota; Viridiplantae; Streptophyta; Magnoliopsida; Poales; Poaceae
Source: RNAcentral